CCCUUAGAUGCUCUGGGCCGCACGCGCGCUACACUGGUCGAUGCAACGAGUUUCUUUCCUUGGCCGACAGGCCUGGGCAAUCUUUGAACAUCGAUCGCGAUCGGGAUAGAUUCUUGUAAUUUUUGAUCUUAAACGAGGAAUUCCUAGUAAACGCAAGUCAUCAGCUUGCAUUGAUUACGUCCCUGCCCUUUGUACACACCGCCCGUCGCACCUACCGAUUGAAUGGUCCGGUGAAAUCUCCGGACUGGCGUGAGUCGGAGCAAUCUGACAAACGCCGGAAAGUUGAUUAAACCUUACCAUUUAGAGGAAGGUGAAGUCGUAACA
This 324-nucleotide ribosomal RNA is filed under the name uncultured eukaryote. RNAcentral's name for it is "partial 18S ribosomal RNA". It matches the Rfam family "Eukaryotic small subunit ribosomal RNA", at positions 1470 to 1796 of the family's 1831-position model. The record is from RNAcentral.